Molecule: ribosomal RNA, 802 nt
Filed under: uncultured bacterium
Lineage: Bacteria
Description: bacterial SSU rRNA
Rfam family: Bacterial small subunit ribosomal RNA
Source: RNAcentral
AGAGUUUGAUCCUGGCUCAGGACGAACGCUGACGGUGUGCUUUAGACAUGCAAGUCGAACGCGAAAGCCCUUCGGGGUGAGUAGAGUGGCGAACGGGUGAGUAACACGUGGGUAACCUACCCCUCGCAGGGGGAUAACCGGGGGAAACCCCGGCUAAUACCCCGUACGCUUGCUGGGUCGCAUGGCCCGGCAAGGAAACGGUAGCUUCGGCCAUCCGGCGAGGGAUGGGCCCGCGGUGCAUUAGCUAGUUGGUGGGGUAACGGCCUACCAAGGCGACGAUGCAUAGCUGGUCUGAGAGGACGAUCAGCCACACUGGGACUGAGACACGGCCCAGACUCCUACGGGAGGCAGCAGUCGGGAAUCUUGCGCAAUGGGCGAAAGCCUGACGCAGCAACACCGUGUGAGCGACGAAGGCCUUCGGGUCGUAAAGCUCUGUUGUUGGGGACGAAGGGUUAGGGGUUAAUAGCCCCGAGCCUGACGGUACCCUUCGAGGAAGCCCCGGCUAACUACGUGCCAGCAGCCGCGGUAAUACGUAGGGGGCGAGCGUUGUCCGGAAUUAUUGGGCGUAAAGAGCGUGUAGGCGGCCCGGUAAGUCCGCCGUGAAAGCUUGGGGCUCAACCCCAAGUUUGCGGUGGAUACUGUCGGGCUAGAGGGUGGUAGAGGCGAGUGGAAUUCCCGGUGUAGCGGUGAAAUGCGCAGAUAUCGGGAGGAACACCAGUAGSGAAGGCGGCUCGCUGGGCCAUACCUGACGCUGAGACGCGAAAGCGUGGGGAGCAAACAGGAUUAGAUACCCCGGUAGUCC